Molecule: ribosomal RNA, 253 nt
Filed under: uncultured bacterium
Lineage: Bacteria
Description: partial 16S ribosomal RNA
Rfam family: Bacterial small subunit ribosomal RNA
Source: RNAcentral
UACGGAGGGUGCAAGCGUUAUCCGGAUUCACUGGGUUUAAAGGGUGCGUAGGUGGGUUGGUAAGUCAGUGGUGAAAUCUCCGGGCUUAACUCGGAAACUGCCGUUGAUACUAUCAAUCUUGAAUAUCGCGUAGGUAAGCGGAAUAUGUCAUGUAGCGGUGAAGUGCUUAGAUAUGACAUAGAACACCAAUUGCGAAGGCAGCUUACUUCACGAUCAUUGACACUGAGGCACGAAAGCGUGGGGAGCAAACAGG